RNAcentral lists this ribosomal RNA (914 nucleotides) under Penicillium chrysogenum. RNAcentral describes it as "LSU rRNA". It matches the Rfam family "Eukaryotic large subunit ribosomal RNA", at positions 38 to 966 of the family's 3401-position model. Lineage: Eukaryota; Fungi; Ascomycota; Eurotiomycetes; Eurotiales; Aspergillaceae. The record is from RNAcentral.
GCAUAUCAAUAAGCGGAGGAAAAAGAAAACCAACAGGGAUUGCCCCAGUAACGGCGAGUGAAGCGGCAAGAGCUCAAAUUUGAAAGCUGGCUCCUUCGGGGUCCGCAUUGUAAUUUGUAGAGGAUGCUUCGGGAGCGGUCCCCAUCUAAGUGCCCUGGAACGGGACGUCAUAGAGGGUGAGAAUCCCGUAUGGGAUGGGGUGUCCGCGCCCGUGUGAAGCUCCUUCGACGAGUCGAGUUGUUUGGGAAUGCAGCUCUAAAUGGGUGGUAAAUUUCAUCUAAAGCUAAAUAUUGGCCGGAGACCGAUAGCGCACAAGUAGAGUGAUCGAAAGAUGAAAAGCACUUUGAAAAGAGAGUUAAAAAGCACGUGAAAUUGUUGAAAGGGAAGCGCUUGCGACCAGACUCGCUCGCGGGGUUCAGCCGGCAUUCGUGCCGGUGUACUUCCCCGCGGGCGGGCCAGCGUCGGUUUGGGCGGUCGGUCAAAGGCCCUCGGAAGGUAACGCCCCUAGGGGCGUCUUAUAGCCGAGGGUGCAAUGCGACCUGCCUAGACCGAGGAACGCGCUUCGGCUCGGACGCUGGCAUAAUGGUCGUAAACGACCCGUCUUGAAACACGGACCAAGGAGUCUAACAUCUACGCGAGUGUUCGGGUGUCAAACCCGUGCGCGAAGUGAAAGCGAACGGAGGUGGGAACCCUCACGGGUGCACCAUCGACCGAUCCUGAAGUCUUCGGAUGGAUUUGAGUAAGAGCGUAGCUGUUGGGACCCGAAAGAUGGUGAACUAUGCCUGAAUAGGGCGAAGCCAGAGGAAACUCUGGUGGAGGCUCGUAGCGGUUCUGACGUGCAAAUCGAUCGUCGAAUUUGGGGUAUAGGGGCGAAAGACUAAUCGAACCAUCUGGUAGCUGGGUUCCUGCCGAAG